This 763-nucleotide ribosomal RNA is filed under the name Glomeromycotina sp. OTU17 DJMC-2012. Its description in RNAcentral is "eukaryotic LSU rRNA". It matches the Rfam family "Eukaryotic large subunit ribosomal RNA", at positions 49 to 656 of the family's 3401-position model. The record is from RNAcentral. Lineage: Eukaryota; Fungi; Glomeromycota.
AGCGGAGGAAAAGAAAAUAACAAUGAUUCCCUCAGUAACGGCGAGCGANGAGGGAUAAGCUCAANUUUUAAUCUGUUGGGUUCCACUUAACAGAGUUGUAUUUUGAAGAAACGUUUUCUGCGUCCAGGAUUAGCCUAAAUCCUUUGGGAUAAGGUAUCAUGGAGGGUGAGAAUCCCGUUCAUGGUUAAUCUUAAGGAAGCUCUACGAUACGUUUUCCAAGAGUCGAGUUGUUUGGGAUUGCAGCUCAAAAUGGGAGGUAAAUUUCUCCUAAGGCUAAAUAUUGGCGAGAGACCGAUAGCGAACAAGUACCGUGAGGGAAAGAUGAAAAGAACUUUGAAAAGAGAGUUAAACAGUACGUGAAAUUGUUGAAAGGGAAACGAUUGAAGUCAGUCAUACCAACGGGAAAUCAACCUUUUGAGCUCGGUCUCGUGGGUUUUGAAGAGUUUCAAAGCCUUCGGAUUCGCGGGAUUGGGAUCUCUYGGUGUACUUUUUCGUACGGUUAGUCAACAUCGGUUUUGAAUGUCAUAAAAUGACUGGAGGAAUGUAGCUUCGAUCUCGUAUUGAAGUGUUAUAGCCUUUGGUAGAUGUGAUGUUUGAGACCGAGGAUUGCAACGGAUACCCUUCAGGGCUAUUCGUCUGAUCUCUGAUACGUUGCCUUGAUGUUGAAAGCUUGCUUAUGAUGUUAGGGUAUUACGGUCAAAAGGUUAGAACGAAUUACAUUCGUUAAGGAUGUUGACGUAAUGACUUUAAACGACCCGUCUUG